This 1038-nucleotide long non-coding RNA is filed under the name Bos indicus x Bos taurus (hybrid cattle). RNAcentral describes it as "lncRNA (ENSBIXG00005023989.1)". The record is from RNAcentral. Lineage: Eukaryota; Metazoa; Chordata; Mammalia; Artiodactyla; Bovidae.
UCAUUUUGGAUAUUGCCAUAUGGUAUGCUCUUUAUUGUUGAUUGUUUUCUCUGUCAUGUCACUAGCCAGAAGGACAUGUUAGUUUAAGUCCUGCUUCAAGGACCCCUGGAGGCAUUUCUGAGGGAGAGAAAAAUGAACUGAGAAAGGAGGAGCAGACAGUGCCUUUACUUCAUUGAUGUUGGCCUAUUUGAACUCAUUUGUGGAAGAAAACAUUGACUGAGCAUCUGAGAUCAGUGCGGCGGUCCCUGGGAUGGGUUCUAAGGAUGCAGCGGUGAGCACCCAGGCAUCUCCCCUACUUUCAGAUGGCUCAUUUCAGGUGGUGAUCACUGGACAGCAGCUGCUUGGAUAUACUGUGAUCAUGUCAAGUGAUGCUCUCUAGGUGAUUUGGAUGUGAUCCUGAGAGAUCCUUCAUUUUGGGAACUUUGUGUUCCACCACAUUUGAAAGCGGAUUAUCUGCACCAGCUGAGCGACCUUGGACAAGUUUCUCUCUCAGCAUCAGUCAUCUCCUUCCAAAAAACCAGGAAGAGUUGUCCUUCGAUGUGUACAAAGAUGACAUUCAAUAUCAUGAGUAUAAAAGUGCAUGCCACGAUUAGACAUACUGAUGUAAGUGACAGGUCUGUGAGAUGCCAUUUUUCUUUGCUCAGGAAGAUCUCUACGAACAAAGACUGCGUGUCCUGGUAGAGAAGGCUGACUCACACACAUCAUCAGGACAACUCAAAUGGACUCCCAGUCUGUUUUCUGGAUAAGAUUUAACAUUGACUUCCCAAAGGGCACAGGUUGCAAAGGUGGGCCUUUGGAUGAAGUGGCAUGAACAUCGAGGGUAGAAGACUGGGGGUAGAGUUGGGGCUGGCUUCCCACUGAAGAAGGAACCACAUUGACGGUUCUCAACAUCACACAACUGAAGAGAACAUUUUUCUCGCACUGAGUAGCUAAGAGCCACAAGCUUCUGGAGGCAUUCCCAGUGCUGGGGACAGUUACUGUGUUUCAGAGUCACCCUUGUAUUGAAUUCAGCCAGUUAUCACUUAUAUCAUUCAGGUC